RNAcentral lists this ribosomal RNA (468 nucleotides) under uncultured bacterium. RNAcentral describes it as "partial 16S ribosomal RNA". It matches the Rfam family "Bacterial small subunit ribosomal RNA", at positions 28 to 507 of the family's 1533-position model. The record is from RNAcentral.
GACGAACGCUGGCGGCGUGCUUAACACAUGCAAGUCGAACGGAAAGGCCCUGCUUUUGUGGGGUGCUCGAGUGGCGAACGGGUGAGUAACACGUGAGUAACCUGCCCUUGACUUUGGGAUAACUUCAGGAAACUGGGGCUAAUACAGGAUAGGAGCUCCUGCUGCAUGGUGGGGGUUGGAAAGUUUCGGCGGUUGGGGAUGGACUCGCGGCUUAUCAGCUUGUUGGUGGGGUAGUGGCUUACCAAGGCUUUGACGGGUAGCCGGCCUGAGAGGGUGACCGGCCACAUUGGGACUGAGAUACGGCCCAGACUCCUACGGGAGGCAGCAGUGGGGAAUAUGGCACAAUGGGCGGAAGCCUGAUGCAGCAACGCCGCGUUCGGGAUGACGGCCUUCGGGUUGUAAACCGCUUUCGCCUGUGACGAAGCGGGAGUGACGGUAAUGGGUAAAGAAGCACCGGCUAACUACGUG